GGUGCAAGCGUUAAUCGGAAUUACUGGGCGUAAAGCGUGCGCAUGCGGUUAUUCAAGACAGAUGUGAAAUCCCCGGGCUCAACCUGGGAACUGCAUUUGUGACUGCAUGGCUGGAGUGCGGCAGAGGGGGAUGGAAUUCCGCGUGUAGCAGUGAAAUGCGUAGAUAUGCGGAGGAACACCGAUGGCGAAGGCAAACCCCUGGGCCUGCACUGACGCUCAUGCACGAAAGCGUGGGGAGCAAACAGG
Molecule: ribosomal RNA, 246 nt
Filed under: uncultured bacterium
Lineage: Bacteria
Description: partial 16S ribosomal RNA
Rfam family: Bacterial small subunit ribosomal RNA
Source: RNAcentral